Molecule: long non-coding RNA, 1447 nt
Organism: Oncorhynchus tshawytscha (Chinook salmon)
Lineage: Eukaryota; Metazoa; Chordata; Actinopteri; Salmoniformes; Salmonidae
Exons: 6
Source: RefSeq, a predicted model, not a curated record
CUGUGCGGGUCAGAAACACACUUCUUACAUUUACAACUAAAAACGAAUAAUAUAUUUGCACUUUAUAUUAGGCCUUAGCAAAGUCCUCCCACCAAAUAGUGUCACAAAAACAGAAUAACUAGAAAAUUUCUAGGCCUACACAUUGAGGUGUGCUACAAGAUAACUGGUAACUCUGUAAACAGGAGUAGGUGCAUCACCGGUCACUGAGCUGGCAAGCUAAAGUUAGCUAGUUAGUCACAUAAAUGUACGUUCAGCCUGAUAAUUAUUUAUUUUACGAAGUCAGCAUGGCUUAACAUAGUUUAUUUCGUUUUUGACCUCGACAUUGUUGCUGGAUAGAUACUUUCAUACCUAACAUGCUGGCGCUGCUAGCUAGCUAAUGCUAACGGCGCUAGCUAACCUCAUAUCUGGAUGCCUCACUCUAGUUCCCGAGAGAGCAGCAUACUGGCCCUCCAUUCCCAUACCUGAAGCCCCCUGUGCCCAGCAAGAAAGACCAGGAAAAAGUGCCAGCUUAAGACCUGCUCGGUGGGUGACAGGUAACCGUCUUUCCACCAAGUUGGGCCAGGCCUGGAGUGGGUGACAGGUAACCGUCUUUCCACCAAGCUGGGCCAGGCCUGGAGUGGGUGACAGGUAACCGUUUUUCCACCAAGCUGGGCCAGGCCUGGAGUGGGUGACAGGUAACCGUCUUUCCACCAAGAUGGGCCAGGCCUGGAGUGGCACGCUGGAACUUCCAGAGGCUUGUAGACCUGAAGCAGUGUGAUGUGAUCCAGAUCUGACACCCCUAUUAGCUCAACCACAGUCUUCACAGCUGCAGUCGUCUGCCCCUGCAUCUGCUACACCGGCCACGACAGGUGAAACAGAUCUGCCACCCCCAGCAGUUCAGCUGCAGUCACAGCAGUCCUCUGCUUAAUUUACCGGCUGCACCAGGUCCUACUACACUGGCCGUUAAAGGAAGAAACUAUUUUUUACGAUACCCAGAUGAAUACAGAUCUGCCAUGUACUCCACCACUGCCUGACAGCCUCACCCAGAAGUGCAUACACACUGGGCCUUUCAAGACUGACAAAGCAGAGAUGGGUGGCUGACAAGGAAAAAUAAAACAACAUGCACUACAUUAUACACAAUGUAAAUAAGAUGUAAUUACUUGUUCAUUUAAUGUUUGGUCCAUUUUAUUUUAGGAUUGGAGAGAUCUACUCCUUCAUAUCCAUUGUCAAUAUCUACAUAAUUACUCUAAAUAUCUAUCAAAUCAAUAUGUGAUUGAUAAUUUUGUAAAAGGCUAUGGCUUAAUGUUUACAGUUUGGGGAAAUUCUGUGCUUUUUUCUGAGUUGAAAAACAUGUCUCACACACACAUUAGACCCAAUGUAAAUACAUUGUAAUAACUUGUUUAUUUUAUGUAUGCUACAUUUUAUUUGAGGAAAAUAUCUGCAAUAAACUACAUUCAGUUAAAUUAAA